Molecule: long non-coding RNA, 270 nt
Organism: Apis florea (little honeybee)
Lineage: Eukaryota; Metazoa; Arthropoda; Insecta; Hymenoptera; Apidae
Source: RefSeq, a predicted model, not a curated record
AAAAAAAGAAUAUUAACUUUCAGAAUAUAGAAUAUAUGACAGAUAUAUACAAAGGGAGAGACAAUCGAAUUCUAUUUCAUCCCUUCGUCCAACUUCUCAACUGAUGGAAAGAUUCCUCUGGUUGGGAAUGCGCAUCUCUCGUAUUGCCCCCUUUGGUGGAACGAUGUGGAAAUUUCGUCGAUGAAAAUGAAUCGAAAGAAGCGAUCAGAUUCGAGGACGAGUAACAACUCUACGAACGAAAGUGAGAGUGCCAUCUUGAAAAAAGAAGAA